Molecule: ribosomal RNA, 397 nt
Filed under: uncultured bacterium
Lineage: Bacteria
Description: partial 16S ribosomal RNA
Rfam family: Bacterial small subunit ribosomal RNA
Source: RNAcentral
AUACGUAGGGGGCGAGCGUUGUCCGGAAUGAUUGGGCGUAAAGGGCGCGUAGGCGGCCCGGUAAGUCUGGAGUGAAAGUCCUGUUUUUAAGAUGGGAAUUGCUUUGGAUACUGUCGGGCUUGAGUGCAGGAGAGGUAGGUGGAAUUCCCAGUGUAGCGGUGAAAUGCGUAGAGAUUGGGAGGAACACCAGUGGCGAAGGCGACUUACUGGACUGUAACUGACGCUGAGGCGCGAAAGUGUGGGGAGCAAACAGGAUUAGAUACCCUGGUAGUCCACACUGUAAACGAUGAAUGCUAGGUGUAGGGGGUAUCGACCCCUUCUGUGCCGCAGUCAACACAAUAAGCAUUCCGCCUGGGGAGUACGGCCGCAAGGUUGAAACUCAAAGGAAUUGGCGGGG